AAAAAGAGCAACCAAACUUAAAUGUUUAACACGAGAGGUGAGCAAUACAGGACUUUUGCAAGUCUGAGUGGUAGGUGGCUGCAGGGUGGGCAGUGAAGGUUGUCGACCAAAAGGGAGACCCCUGACUGUGGUGGCCCUCAGCAUAUGAGAAGACACCUUGACAUCAGGCUUGGCUGGAUGAAAGAAGUGCUCAGAAGCCCCAAAGUGAGGAAGACAAGAGACUCUACCACUGAGAUUCUCAAUGAAAUUCAUUUCUUUGGAAGGAAAAUGACACUGAGGUCAGGAAGUUUGGGGAACUCUGGGAUAAGGCAAGUUAGACAGUUUCUUCACAGCAGAAUUUCUCAGAACCCAUGGAAUGUGGACGCUCCAGGAGGCUGACAUGGUCUGCACUGUUUCCUGAACUUAUUGAACCACUGAUGGCCCUGCUUCAGACCCAUCUUUUUUAUUUUCCACAAAGCAACCUGUGGAUCCAGUGCUUGGUAGAACACACCUUGGGAAACAGUCUGACGCCAUAAAGGGAAAAUGGUUUUCACAGAAAGGGCAGAGAAAUAGGACAGAAAUGAAGGGAUGAGGGAGAGAAGAAAAAAGGGGAGGAGAAAAAGCAAGAAAAUAAAAAGGGAAAUUAGAAAAAAGGACAGGACAGAAACCAAAGGAAAUGAGAAAAAGAGAGGGAGAAAACAAAAGAAUAAGGAAAAGAAAUUAGGAGCAGGAAAAGUAUAAUAGAGAAGUCCCUUAUUACUAACCAUGUCCUCAUUGCUUUUAGGAGAGAUGUAGGUGCCUGUCAUCUCUUCCAGGCACAGGGCUCCUACAGGCCACCCCAAACCUCAGCCUGUCACUCUUCAAGGGGCCCAGAAUAUGAUGCUACACCAACAAAAGAAAGAACCUGAUGUCAUCUAGUCCGAUACCAACUGUCCAGAGAAGUGUUGGGAUAUGUGUCUCACUGAAGGCCACACAGCCAUUAGGGGCAGUCAGAUCUCCUGGCAUCUGGGCCAGAAAAUAUCCUGAGCACUUCAAACAUCUUAACAAGAACAAGCUGACUAUUCAUAACCAGGAUCAAGUAAGAUCCCUGGAGAGAUGCCCUUUCAACCCUCCAUCUCUGCUAAAUGCCUGUUGGAUCCCAGCAGUGGAGCCUGCUAGAUGGUUGGAUUUACUUAGAACAGACUAUUAUGAAGAGAGACGGUGCCUGGAGCAUACACACAGAGAGACACUGGGAAAAUACCCUUGUGCUGGAGCAACAGGGUGAAAACAUCUGUGUUCCUGAGCUGCUUAGGAAGAUAAAGUUGCUGGGGAGGCAGCUCGGGUCCGGGAGGCAGGAGGAGCGGGGAGUGGUGCAGUCCAAGGGUGUGCAUGUUUGGAGCAGAUGGAAAAUGUACCCCCAUAACUGGAGAUGUAAGCAAAUUGUAAUUGAUUUUACAACAGAGACAGAGUGAGAGGAAAGGUACAAAGGAGACCGAUGCAGGAUUUGAGUGAAAACCUGGGGAGUGGCUAACAGAAGAGAAACAGCUUAAAACACCAAAGUAGGAUUUAUUCCCGAGAGCAAGAGGUAUUCACAGCGGUCUUGAUUCUAAGUGAAUUUAAUAUCUGCCUGCCAGUGAGGAGACCCAAGCUCUAAAAGUCUAAGCUGGCCAGUCAUCCUCUUCCCAUCCCCUAGUUUGGCUUCUAAACUGAACAACAUGCCCUUUCCCCAUCCCUGCCAGGCCUCAAAAAUUAUCAAGCAAUUUUUUCCCCUUUUACUUAUAAAAGCAGCUUCCUAGAAGAAAUCUUUCUGGGUUGCUGAAACCAGAGAUUCUGACUUGGAUCUGCCUCAACCUGGAAUUCCAACAGUUACUCCUUUCCCAACUCCAGCCUGAAGUUUCCCACACAUCCCCGUCCUAGCGGCCACACAUCAUUUCGGUUUUGCCCAUGACUGAGGGUGAGUCAGCCGGCAAACACUCCUCGCCCCUUAGGAUUCUCCAAAUUAGAUCUAGGCAUCCACAUCCUUGGGGCAUUUGCAGAUCACAUGUAUGGAUGCACCAAGCUAAGAGGAUAACUGCUGUGAUUGAUGAUAGGAUCAAGAUUUUAAAUGAAUUCCAUAAGCUGAAAGAUGGUCUCAAAUCAAUAAGAAUGCACCAGGAAAAAAUGCAAAGCACUGCAUUUAGACCCAACAAUCAAUUGCACAAAUAUAGGAUGGAAAAUAAAAUAUAGACCUAGAAAACA
Long non-coding RNA from Piliocolobus tephrosceles (Ugandan red Colobus), 2196 nucleotides. The record is from Ensembl. Lineage: Eukaryota; Metazoa; Chordata; Mammalia; Primates; Cercopithecidae.